CCAAUAGCGUAUAUUAAAGUUGUUGCAGUUAAAAAGCUCGUAGUUGAAUUUUAGGCCUGGCCAGGCGGUCCGUCUUUGGCGAGUACUGUCUUGUUGUCGGGUCUUCCUUCUGGUGAACCAGUAUGCCCUUUAUUGGGUGUGUUGGGGAGCCAGGACCAUUACCUUGAAAAAAUUAGAGUGUUUAAAGCGGGCUAUUGCUUGAAUAGAUUAGCAUGGAAUAAUAGAAUAGGACGUUGUGGUUCUAUUUUGUUGGUUUCUAGGACCACCGUAAUGAUUAAUAGGGAUAGUUGGGGGCAUUAGUAUUCAAUUGUCAGAGGUGAAAUUCUUGGAUUUAUUGAAGACUAACUAUUGCGAAAGCAUUUGCCAAGGAUGUUUUCAUUAAUCAAGAACGAAAGUUAGGGGAUCGAAGACGAUCAGAUACCGUCGUAGUCUUAACCAUAAACUAUGCCGACUAGGAAUCGGGCGACGUUAUUUUAAUGACUCGCUCGGCGCCUUAUG
Molecule: non-coding RNA, 498 nt
Filed under: uncultured Archaeospora
Lineage: Eukaryota; Fungi; Glomeromycota; Glomeromycetes; Archaeosporales; Archaeosporaceae
Also listed under: 1 other name
Description: SSU rRNA
Rfam family: Eukaryotic small subunit ribosomal RNA
Source: RNAcentral